This 1588-nucleotide long non-coding RNA is filed under the name Malus domestica (apple). Its description in RNAcentral is "long non-coding RNA (MDOM_LNC014998)". The record is from RNAcentral. Lineage: Eukaryota; Viridiplantae; Streptophyta; Magnoliopsida; Rosales; Rosaceae.
AUUUAAAAAAUAUAGUAAUAUACAUAGAAAUAAAUUAUCACAUUAAUUUCAGGAACUUCGAUCAGAAAUUGAAAACCAACAAGGUUUCAGUCAAAUAAUAUUCAUAGUUAGGGACUGCAUCCAAAGUCUUCCUAAAAAUAAUAAUAAAGAAAGCCUAAGGCCUUCUUCGGUUAAGAUGAGUUGAGUUUUGUGGAGACAUAAAUUAAUAAUUUGAUAAGAGAAUGAUACUGGACUAUAAGCUCUUUAUGACAAAUUUACUCUUGACGCCAUAAGCAGAUCAUAAAGUACUUAAGGGAUGUGGCAUCUGCCUGCCUCAUGGGUACAAGGCAUUCAGGUCGCCUUGGAGCCCCUUAGGCCUAUGGUAUCCUACCAUCGAGCCAUACUCGGCCCAAGGUGGUAGGAAGCCGACUCUUCAAAGUCUCAUUUUUAGGUGUUCAAUGUGAAUGCAUAUUUCCGCCACUAGGCAAUCAACUCGUUUGAGUCUUAUAACCUACUUGCCUAAGACUUGCAGACUUGGAACACAAAGUUGGAGUUAAGGGGAAAAAUGGUGUGUUGUCUAUCAUAGAGGCUCCAAUGCCUAAAUUAGUAGUGUUUAUCGACUAAAUCAACACUUAAAUGCAAAUAGUAGCAUGGAAAGGUCUAGUAGAACGGGGGCGAAAACUAAACCUUCUUUCUUCGACUUAAAUUGAAGGGCUCAGCUUACGUGUGAAACACUUUGCCUAGGGAGUACAGUUUGGCAUAAGUUUGAGAUUACCAUUCUUCGAGCCAUAAGUGGCUACUUAUAAAGGAUGGCUGAAUGUGAUCUGCAAAGCAGUUGAAAAUGACACGUGGCAUGCGUUGAGCCUUUUUAAGAAGCACUCCCCAUAAGUGGAGGAAAUAACGAAGGUCCAUGAUAGCGUAUGCCUUAAGAAUAGGCAUCGUGUGCCAUGUUUAUAGGUACUGAGUAAGCCCAUUUCUUUGCUGGGGUCACCGCGUUGUGGUAGUGCCCUGCAAAUUUUAGCCUUUUAGCUAGGUCAGGGGAAGUCUAACUGAUCACUUAUCCUCAACGAAAGUUCAACGUGCCCAACAGGCUUUAGCAGUGCUCUUGCUUGGCAAGGCUUUCUUAGCCUCGUAAUGCACCAGGCGCUAACCUUCUUGUUACGAGCUAGUUCUUAGCCCUUAAAGUGCGUUUGUUGCACCGAACUAUCUUGGACUGGACUAGCUCCAGGGACUAAGCUGGAUUGGCUUGACUUGGACUAAACUGGAUAAGAAUUAUGAAGCAUUUGGUGCACCACCAGACUAAGAAGCAGGACAAUAAAAAUGUUCAUUUUAUUUAUUAUUAAAUUAUUAUUUUGUAGUUAUUUCAAUAGUCUAAACACCUAAUUAAUUCUAAAAAAAUAUUGUUUGAUCAUUUAUUAAUUUACUUUUGUCCUUAGAAAAACUAAAAAGUAAGGAAAAAUAAAUAAAUUAACAUCAGUCAUCAGCCCUUCUUCCUUGCAGAGAGAUACAAAAUCAUGUCCUUCAAGCAAGACCAUUGUUUCUUUCUCAAAGCCAUUCUUCUUCUUCGAGAAGCAAAACCCAUGAAAAUAUUUGGUUACUAUGGAAGAAA